GACGAACGCUGGCGGCGUGCUUAACACAUGCAAGUCGUACGGUAAGGCCCUUUCGGGGGUACACGAGUGGCGAACGGGUGCGUAACACGUGAGUAACCUGCCCACAACUUUGGGAUAACGCUAGGAAACUGGUGCUAAUACUGGAUAUGUGCUCCUGCUGCAUGGUGGGGGUUGGAAAGCUCCGGCGGUUGUGGAUGGAUUCGCGGCCUAUCAGCUUGUUGGUGGGGUAGUGGCCUACCAAGGCGGCGACGGGUAGCCGGCCUGUGAGGGUGACCGGCCACAUUGGGACUGAGAGACGGCCCAGACUCCUACGGGAGGCAGAAGGGGGGAAUAUUGCACGAUGGGCGCAAGCCUGAUGCAGAAACGCCGCGUGCGGGAUGACGGCCUUCGGGUUGUAAACCGCAUUCAGCAGGGACGAAGCUUUUUGUGACGGUACCUGCAGAAGAAGCACCGGCUAACUACGUG
Molecule: ribosomal RNA, 465 nt
Filed under: uncultured bacterium
Lineage: Bacteria
Description: partial 16S ribosomal RNA
Rfam family: Bacterial small subunit ribosomal RNA
Source: RNAcentral